GGAGGGGUGGCAGAGCGGUUUAAUGCGGCGGUCUUGAAAACCGUUGACUGUAACAGGUCCGGGGGUUCGAAUCCCUCCCCCUCCGCCA
This 88-nucleotide transfer RNA is filed under the name Saprospiraceae bacterium. Its description in RNAcentral is "tRNA-Ser". It matches the Rfam family "tRNA". From Rfam's summary of the family: Transfer RNA (tRNA) molecules are approximately 80 nucleotides in length. Their secondary structure includes four short double-helical elements and three loops (D, anti-codon, and T loops). The record is from RNAcentral. Lineage: Bacteria; Pseudomonadati; Bacteroidota; Saprospiria; Saprospirales; Saprospiraceae.